Labeo rohita (rohu) is the source of this 497-nucleotide non-coding RNA. Lineage: Eukaryota; Metazoa; Chordata; Actinopteri; Cypriniformes; Cyprinidae. The record is from the annotation of a RefSeq genome assembly.
UAGAGAGACACUUUGCAUGAGAGUGUUUAUAGUGCUGUGAGUUUAACACUUCAUGACUGAGAGCAGAACAGAACAGAAUCUUCAUCAUCACACAAGACAAAACAACAACAAUGAACAACAUCAUCAUCCUCAUCUGGACACUCACACUGUUUGCUCAAGAGUGUAGAGGACAGUACACUGUUACUCAGAGUCCAUCAAUAACAGCAGCUCAAGGACAAGAAGUCAGAAUAAACUGUAAAGUCAGCAGUGGAGUGUAUGGUGGUAGUUACUUACACUGGUACUUACAGAAACCUGGAGAAACUCCUAAACUCCUCAUAUAUUAUACAAACAACCUCCAGUCAGGAACUCCAUCUAGAUUCAGUGGCAGUGAAUCUGGCAGUGAUUUCACUCUGACCAUCAGUGGAGUCCAGACUGAAGAUACAGGAGAUUAUUACUGUCAGAGUUUACACAACCCGAGCAGCACUUGGGUGUUCACACAGUGAUAAAGAGUCGUACAA